AUACGGAUGGUGCAAGCGUUACUCGGAAUCACUGGGCGUAAAGCGCAUGCAGGCGGUCUAAUAAGUUGGAAGUGAAAGCCUAUGGCUCAACCAUAGAACUGCUUCCAAAACUGUUAGACUAGAGUCUGGGAGGGGAAGAUGGAAUUAGUAGUGUAGGGGUAAAAUCCGUAGAGAUUACUAGGAAUACCAAAAGCGAAGGCGAUCUUCUGGAACAGUACUGACGCUGAGAUGCGAAAGCGUGGGGAGCAAACAGGAUUAGAAACCCUAGUAGUCC
RNAcentral lists this ribosomal RNA (274 nucleotides) under uncultured bacterium. RNAcentral describes it as "partial 16S ribosomal RNA". It matches the Rfam family "Bacterial small subunit ribosomal RNA", at positions 523 to 796 of the family's 1533-position model. The record is from RNAcentral.